Molecule: long non-coding RNA, 792 nt
Organism: Ctenopharyngodon idella (grass carp)
Lineage: Eukaryota; Metazoa; Chordata; Actinopteri; Cypriniformes; Xenocyprididae
Exons: 3
Source: RefSeq, a predicted model, not a curated record
GUUAACUUCACACUUACAUACUUUUUUUAUAUAUAUAUAUAUAUAGUGUGUGUGUGUGUGUGUGUUAAGAAAAGUGUUAACUUGCAUAAUUAACAAGGUUUAAAGGCAAACAUGACACUAGAUAUAUUAAAAUAGAACAAAAGCUUAGUAUUAUUAAAGUUGUUUUUAUGCUUUAAAAAGUUAUUUUUUUAUGUUGUCUGAUGGCUGACACACAUUAGCACACACACACAAAAAAAGAAAAAAAAGAAGAAAAAAAACACACACAAGCACAUGCACAUACCUGUAACCACACAUACUCACACACAUAUAGUUGGAGCAAAUCUGUUUUGUGUUUUAUGUAAGAGUAAAACUGAGGUUUAAAAUGUAAGACUGCCUGGACAGCACACAAACAAAAUUAGCUUUAAUUAGCAUUCUUUCUCCAGUGUGCGUCAUUCAUGAGCAUGUGUUUAUGUGUAUGUUUUGUUUGUGAAAUCUGUCAGGCAGAUCUCUGGAUCUUCAACCAGCCCCCAUAUGCAUACGUGCUGACUUUGCAAAAGCAGUCUGCGCUUCCCGCUGCGAGAGGAUGCUUCAGUGCUGCUUCUACCGCAGUACUGUAGAGUUUAACUGGAUACAGAGCAUCUGACAUCAUGAAUGACAACAGAGACCCUAGCAGAUCAGAUCUGUGAACCAAUUUUUGGUGAAACCUCUGAUCUAUAGUGUAUCACAACGAUGAACAACAGCAAACCCGUGCGUGAAUGUGAACACUUACCAGUACCAGUACCAGUAGGACUUGUUGCCUCUCCUCUCUCUGGC